CAGAGUAGGCAGAUGCGCGUAUAGUGCUUGGCGGACGGGGAGUUGUCGCCUUGACGAAAAACAUUUUUAUGUUUGCGGUGCAUCUGUCGCAUCCCGCUG
Molecule: non-coding RNA, 99 nt
Filed under: pig gut metagenome
Description: THF riboswitch
Rfam family: THF (Tetrahydrofolate) riboswitch aptamer
About the family: THF riboswitch presents a pseudoknot that joins P1-P2 and the loop of P3 and two THF binding.
Source: RNAcentral